RNAcentral lists this ribosomal RNA (464 nucleotides) under uncultured bacterium. RNAcentral describes it as "partial 16S ribosomal RNA". It matches the Rfam family "Bacterial small subunit ribosomal RNA", at positions 29 to 507 of the family's 1533-position model. The record is from RNAcentral.
ACGCACGCUGGCGGCGUGCUUAACACAUGCCAGUCGCACGGAAAGGCCCUGCUUGCAGGGUACUCGAGUGGCGAACGGGUGAGUAACACGUGGGUGAUCUGCCCUGCACUUCGGGAUAAGCCUGGGAAACUGGGUCUAAUACCGGAUAGGAGCCAUUUUUAGUGUGAUGGUUGGAAAGUUUUAUCGGUGUAGGAUGAGCUCGCGGCCUAUCAGCUUGUUGGUGGGGUAAUGGCCUACCAAGGCGGCGACGGGUAGCCGGCCUGAGAGGGUGGACGGCCACAUUGGGACUGAGAUACGGCCCAGACUCCUACGGGAGGCAGCAGUGGGGAAUAUUGCACAAUGGGCGCAAGCCUGAUGCAGCGACGCCGCGUGGGGGAUGACGGCCUUCGGGUUGUAAACUCCUUUCGCUAGGGACGAAGCUUUUUGUGACGGUACCUAGAUAAGAAGCACCGGCUAACUACGUG